Molecule: ribosomal RNA, 1470 nt
Filed under: Triticum aestivum (bread wheat)
Lineage: Eukaryota; Viridiplantae; Streptophyta; Magnoliopsida; Poales; Poaceae
Description: partial small subunit ribosomal RNA
Source: RNAcentral
AUGAAGCGUGCAUUCACACUGCACCUCAGGCAACUACAUGUAUUCCUCGUGCUGUUGGAGGGUGUUUGGUUCAAUGCAGUCCUGCCACUAGCCAUCUGCAAGGAAGCUGAAAAUGAUAGACAUGCCCUCCUUUGCUUCAAGUCCAGACUCUCAGGCCCAGCAGGACUGUCAAACAACAACUUCAGUGGUGGCAUACCAUCGGAGAUUGGCCUCCUGCGCCGUCUCCGUGAUCUCGACCUCAGCAGGAACAAUUUAGAAGGGGUCAUCCCGGAGUCCCUGGCAUAUAGUUCAUCCCUCCGAAUACUUUGGCUCAAUAGCAAUAGUCUUGGUGGAAAACUGCCAAAGGCUCUCUUCAACACAUCAUCUCUUGUUGACAUUUCCCUCCAACAGAACAACCUUGUUGGUUCCAUACCUGUUGUUACUACCACUUCUCCCCCUAUUGAAUACCUCGAUUUAAGCGAUAAUCAUAUUUCAGGAAAACUACCUUCCUCACUAGGGAACCUUUCCACCCUUGUGGAUCUUCGUCUUACAGGGAACAAUUUAGUCGGGAGCAUACCAGAGAGCUUAGGUUAUAUCUCACCUCUGCAGAUACUGACAUUGACCGCCAACAACUUGUCUGGGACAGUUCCACCAUCUCUCUUCAAUAUGUCAUCUCUGACAUUUCUUAGCCUAGGAAACAACUCGCUUGUUGGAAGGUUACCCCCCAAUAUUAGCUACACACUCCCAAAUAUUCAGACAUUAGUGCUCUCAACAAACAAGUUUGAUGGCCCAAUCCCAGCUUCUCUUCCCAAAGCUUACAACCUCCGUCGUCUUUACUUGUAUAACAACACACUAACUGGGUUCAUACCCUUCUUUGGGUCAUUGCCAAAUUUGGAGGAACUUGAUUUGUCAUACAACAGGCUAGAAACAGGAAAAUGGGGAUUUAUGUCUUCACUCGCAAAUUGUACCAGGUUGACUAAGUUGCUGUUGGUUGGGAACAAUCUUCAAGGCAAAAUGCCAAGUUCGAUAGGCAAUCUUUCUGAUAGUCUCGAGUGGCUUUGGCUAAGGGAAAACCAAAUUUCUGGGCCUAUACCACCGGAGAUUGGCAAUCUUAAGAGCCUCACUAGGGUUUACAUGGAUUACAAUCUUAUCACUGGAAAUAUACCACCAACUAUUGGUAAUUUGUACCGCUUGGUCCAUCUAUCCUUUGCACACAACAAACUGUCAGGGCAAAUCCCAGAUACUAUUGGUAAUCUGGUUAAGCUAAUUUCUUUGAAACUGGAUGAGAACAACAUUAGUGGAAGGAUACCUGCAAGUAUACGAAGUUGUACUCAACUCGAGGAACUAAACCUUCGUCAGAACUCACUAGAUGGGAGUAUACUUGUUGUUCUGAUGGAUGAAGAACCAAUACUUUCAACUCCAAUGUGUGCACCUUCCCGUUACGCCAUGCGCUCCCUACUCUCCGGCGAGUGUUCUCGUGUUCUUAAUUGA